ACCUUCCAGAUACACCUUUGAGUGUCUUGGAUUUAGAAUUGAAUGCUCCUUUGUUACUCUUACUACCAGGAGGAGGAGUCCUUUGACCUUGCUGCUGUUGUCUCUCUGCUGUGUGACGUUCUGAUGAUACUGUUCAUACACUCUGCUGUUCCCAGCCCUGCCAGACUUCUCUGCCUUGUUGCUCCUAACCAGAUCGGCUUUCUGGAUGAGUCCCUCACCUGCCUCCUGGCCACCCCGGGCUCUUCACUGUGCUGUGCUCUCCUGCCCCAUGAAGGCUGCUUUCAUUUCAGCCAGAAUCCAUGAAUCCAUCUGGGAGAAUUGACAGAAUAGCCAACCAAAAUGGUCAGCAAUUUAUGUGGAAAAAUGGAUUGUGCAUGUGGUUAUAUAUAUCAUGUAUAUACAUGUGCUGCCUAAAGACCCUGACAUAUAACAGCAGUUAUUUUUAAAAAAUUCCAACCAAAAGCUCUAAAAACAGGAGGCUGGUACCGCAUGGUAACUUUCUUGUUAUGCAGAUGUAUCCCAUCACCACUGUAGCUGCAAAUCCAUCAGACUGCACCUUUCUUCAGAGAUAUUUACGCAAUGCUCCAGAAUUUAAUUGAUCAAAGCUUCUCCGAGAUGUGUUGACUUUAGGGAUGGACUAAGGAGAGCUGCAGAAAUAAAAACCCUGUUCUAUGGAGACCGUCAUUAUGCUUAUUUGUUGGGGGUUUUUUUUCAAGCUUAAUUUUAAAAAGAGUGACUGCAGCUUGGAAAUCAUGGCAGCAUCCUGGAGUGUUGCCAUCUCUUGUUUGACCACGUGUACAUUAUGAAUUCAAGAAGCUCCUGCUGAGGAAAGGUACAGCAGUACAUUGUCAUCAAAACAUUCAAUGGGAUGGCAUUUUCCAGCAGCAGUAUGAAAGGCUUCAUGAAAAAUAAACCUUAACCAUCUCAAGUGAGGGUGUCUGUGCUAUUGUCCUGGCACAAUAAGCAUCCUCUGUAGCUCAGCUUUUACCCUUUGAUAUGCUGCUUUCAGAAUGGCAUAAAAAAGCUUCCUGUAGCUAUUGCUGCCAUCUCCCACUAAGCCACAUCUCUGUGUGGCAUUACUUCUCUUCCUCAAACUUAGUGCUGAGGAAGUCAACAAUGCUGAGAAAGUCAACAAUAAGAUGAAAAAGUGAUCUUAAAACUGUGUCCAAGAACCAUUGUUUGCUAGGAAGGGAGCUGGAGGGGCGGCUUCACUUAGGUUUUGCACCUCUGUGGUUGAAUCAGAGAGAAAUGCAUUCCUUCCCUCUCCUUCUCCUCCUACACCCUUAAGUAAUAAUGCAGGAAGACAUUUGAAAUAAAUAGUUCCUUGAUAGAAAUGUGCAUCUUUAAUUUCCUUACUUAAAUGAAGGGACUUUAUUAAUUGGAAAAAUAUCAGCUUUUGUUUACAUGAAUUUGUAUGAAAUAAAUAGCUGCAAGGAGGAGCAUAAAACCAUGAAUCCUAAAGGCUCAAACAUCAGAGGCAAUUAAAACUUUAGGAUUUGCACAUACUGAGAGAAAGAGUGGCUAUACAAAAAUAACUUUGAGGAGGAUAUUUCCACGGCAGAGAAGCAGCUAACUCCUACAUGCAGCAACACAUAGAUGCAGCCUACUUUUUGUCAGGAAUGGAUUCCAGGGUCCCAGGGGUCCUGUGUGAAUAUUGUCACUCUGCAUUCACAGCUUCACACACAAGAAAAUCCACUGCAAUGUGCCCUUAAUCCUUUACAGAAGCCUGGGAAACUCAGCCUGGACUUUGCUACAUUUCAGAAAUCUUACAAAUCCAUGCCCACCCCACUGCAGGUUUCAUAAGGACCCCUUCACUGCACUGGUGAGUUAAUUCUUCUCAUCUCCUCCACCUUUUCCAGUAGCACUGGUCUCUGGGAAGUAACAAUUCAGACAAUCAUCAAAAUCUUUCUUUCUUGCAAAGGUGGAUAUACCUGGGUGAGUAUCUAGGCUGCCUAAUAAUAUGAAACUACAUUACUCCAGCCCUUUCCCACACAGCUGGGGCAUUACUGAUGUUAGCUGCUGAGUUUUCAGCAUCUCUAAAAUACUCUUUUUACAACAUUCUUUCAGGAAAAAAAAAACCACAAUAAACACUUCAGAUUCCUAGUCUGAUUAAAGUAUUCAUUGAACUCUGUUUAAAUCAGGUGCAAAACAACAAUAUCUCCAACACCAGUGA
Molecule: long non-coding RNA, 2173 nt
Organism: Passer domesticus (house sparrow)
Lineage: Eukaryota; Metazoa; Chordata; Aves; Passeriformes; Passeridae
Exons: 5
Source: RefSeq, a predicted model, not a curated record